GGUGAGUAACACGNGGGUAACCUGCCUGUAAGACUGGGAUAACUCCGGGAAACCGGGGCUAAUACCGGAUGGUUGUUUGAACCGCAUGGUUCAAACAUAAAAGGUGGCUUCGGCUACCACUUACAGAUGGACCCGCGGCGCAUUAGCUAGUUGGUGAGGUAACGGCUCACCAAGGCAACGAUGCGUAGCCGACCUGAGAGGGUGAUCGGCCACACUGGGACUGAGACACGGCCCAGACUCCUACGGGAGGCAGCAGUAGGGAAUCUUCCGCAAUGGACGAAAGUCUGACGGAGCAACGCCGCGUGAGUGAUGAAGGUUUUCGGAUUGUAAAGCUCUGUUGUUAGGGAAGAACAAGUACCGUUCGAAUAGGGCGGUACCUUGACGGUACCUAACCAGAAAGCCACGGCUAACUACGUGCCAGCAGUCGCGGUAAUACGUAGGUGGCAAGCGUUGUCCGGAAUUAUUGGGCGUAAAGGACUCGCAGGCGGUUUCUUAAGUCUGAUGUGAAAGCCCCCGGCUCAACCGGGGAGGGUCAUUGGAAACUGGGGAACUUGAGUGCANAAGANGAGAGUGGAAUUCCACGUGUAGCGGUGAAAUGCGUANNGAUGUGGAGGAACACCAGUGGCGAANGCGACUCUCUGGUCUGUAACUGACGCUGANGAGCGAAAGCGUGNGGAGCGAACAGGAUUANACACCCUGGUAGUCCACGCC
Molecule: ribosomal RNA, 711 nt
Filed under: uncultured bacterium
Lineage: Bacteria
Description: bacterial SSU rRNA
Rfam family: Bacterial small subunit ribosomal RNA
Source: RNAcentral